GUGCUCGCUUCGGCAGCACAUAUACUAACAUUGGAACGAUGCAGAGAAGAUUACCGUGGCCCCCGCACAAAGAUGACACGCAAAUUCGUGAAGCGUUCCGUAUUUUU
Molecule: small nuclear RNA, 107 nt
Organism: Pteropus vampyrus (large flying fox)
Lineage: Eukaryota; Metazoa; Chordata; Mammalia; Chiroptera; Pteropodidae
Source: Ensembl